RNAcentral lists this ribosomal RNA (164 nucleotides) under Maprounea guianensis. Its description in RNAcentral is "5.8S ribosomal RNA". It matches the Rfam family "5.8S ribosomal RNA". Rfam says of the family: 5.8S ribosomal RNA (5.8S rRNA) is a component of the large subunit of the eukaryotic ribosome. It is transcribed by RNA polymerase I as part of the 45S precursor that also contains 18S and 28S rRNA. Functionally, it is thought that 5.8S rRNA may be involved in ribosome translocation. Lineage: Eukaryota; Viridiplantae; Streptophyta; Magnoliopsida; Malpighiales; Euphorbiaceae. The record is from RNAcentral.
AAAAUGACUCUCGGCAACGGAUAUCUCGGCUCUCGCAUCGAUGAAGAACGCAGCGAAAUGCGAUACUUGGUGUGAAUUGCAGGAUCCCGCGAACCAUCGAGUCUUUGAACGCAAGUUGCGCCCGAAGCCUUAUGGCCGAGGGCACGUCUGCCUGGGUGUCACGC